Molecule: signal recognition particle RNA, 100 nt
Filed under: Mucispirillum schaedleri
Lineage: Bacteria; Pseudomonadati; Deferribacterota; Deferribacteres; Deferribacterales; Mucispirillaceae
Also listed under: 1 other name
Description: signal recognition particle sRNA small type
Rfam family: Bacterial small signal recognition particle RNA
About the family: The signal recognition particle (SRP) is a universally conserved ribonucleoprotein involved in the co-translational targeting of proteins to membranes. Archaeal SRP consists of a 7S RNA and homologues of the eukaryotic SRP19 and SRP54 proteins.
Source: RNAcentral
CGUCAGGGGCUGUGCAACCGCUGUUUUAGUAAACCCCGUCAGGUUCGGAAGAAAGCAGCGGCAGCUAUUACAGUGGUGUGCCAUAGUUACUCUGGCGAGU